CCCUCGUCUCUCUCUCAAACUAGAAAACAAAACACAAGUUGGCUCUCUUCGUUUAACAGCCCUUGUCCUCCUCCAGCGUGUUCUCCUCUAGCGCCGCCACCGACGUUUCCCGUUCUCCUCCUUCCGUGCCGCCGCCUACGUGGCAUCUCUGAGCUCGUCCGUCCUUCUCGUUCAGUGCCGCGUGUUCUCUUCCAUCAGCACCUUUUAUUAUUUGAUUUCCCUAUUUUUCUAUUUUCACGUAUGGUCCUCUCUUUCAAAUAUAUAUGCUUUGUUUUUGUUUUUGUUAUAUUUUGUGCUUUGAGGUAUCAGACAUCUACUAGGGCUCUGUUUGUUUAGAUGGAAAACUAAAAUGUUGCCUGUUAAUUAGGUAAAUUGUCGUAAACAGAUAUUUCUCCCUCAAUCUAUUGAAUAGGCGUGGCAAUGGUCUGUUUGGCAUUAUCCUUAAGAACUGAUUCUGUUUUCAAUGAUAAAAAAUACUAUGGCGUGGAAAAAAAAUAUUUUUCCUGGCAUUUUGGGAGACUGUUUUCCAAAUGAUUUCUUAAAAAACGAGGCAUCUUAUUUGCUCAAACUGUAAAAAGAAUGAUUUUUCUAAUUUGCAAGUAUAUACAAAUAAGCAUUGUAGGCUGGAUAGAGUUUUUGAUUAGGUGAUUUGAAUUAGAGCAAACUAUUUUUUGAACAUGAUCCUUCAUAGGAUUUUUUAGUAUUUUUCUUUUCUAUUGUUGGUUCUUGUAGGAUUAUGUAGGUAUCCCCCUCUUUUUUUUGUGUGUGUUAUUAUUUACAUAAUAACAUACCUAUAGCUUGAGAACAUUUCAAGGAAUUUUUGGCAUGCUUAGAGACCAUAUUGUUAGAAGGCAUCUUAAUCUCUAUGAUAGAAACAGUUGGAAGAUUUUGUAGGUAUCCCAUUUUUUUAAAUCUUAUUAUUUACAUAAUAACACAAAUGUGCUUGAGAACAUUUCAAGGAAUUUGUGGCACAUUUAGGGAAGAUAUUGUUAGAAUCUAUUCCAUCUUAACCUUUCUGGUAGAGACACUUGCAAUAAUUUGGAAAGAUAAACUUAAAUUAUUGAGUCUGAAUUGUUUGAAAAAGAGGAGUGUUGGAAGGAGGUUUAUGCAAAACUGAUUGAAGCCACAAUCAGUAAUUUGAUUUCACAUCUUAUAGUGGAUGACUGGAUGGUAUGGCCACGGAAAAGGAAGUAACUAUAUGACAGGAUUCACUGAGAGAACCAAAUAGUUGGAAGAACUCAAUACUCAUGUUGGAUUCUGGCAACAAUGAAUAGUAUUUCGAAAGAGCAGAGGUUGUCUUGGAUGCUGUACUAAGCCCCCUUUGAUAAUUGCUGCUGACAAGCCAUCCAAGAGACUGAGAAUUCGAGGCCGAACAGUCAAGAAAUCAAGCAUUUCAGAGGAUUUUUGGAGCACUAGCACUUGUGAGAUGGACAAUAGUAUUGUUCAGUCCCAGAGAAGUGGAUCAUCAAUGAGCACAUCAAAUCCACCCUUAGAUCCCCACAACAGUGCUGGAAGCACAAGUCUUGUUCUUUGGAUUCAGACAAGACAUCAAUGGAUUGGAAAUAAAAGGUCUCAAAACCGUACAUAAGUUCCCAAACCCAAACUAAGGAGGAAAUUACAGCACAGAAACAUGAAAUUCAAGCACAAAAAGAGGAAAUUCAAGCACAAAAUAAUGUGAUAGUGAAGAUGAAUGACUCGAGUGAGGAGCAUUUGGAGAUGACGUCAAGCAUCAUGGAGUUUCUUAAGAAACAAGGUUUCAACAGACAAUUUAGGGGAGGAGGCAUCCCAUGAACUCGUAGAUCGCCUUUUUGAUUGAUUUUUGAUGACAUUUGGAAGCAAACUUGCAAAUCAAGAUCAAGUGUUAAUUUUUUUUUGUGGACUGAUACUUAGUUCUACUUGCAACUCAAGAUCAAGUGUUGAUUUUUUUGUGGACUGAUACUUAGUUCAUUUUGGGAUUUGCUGUGAUUUGGUCUUUGUUAUAGUUAAGGAAUUGUUAUUAAAUUUGUUUGAUGGAUAUAUUUUGAUUUAUAAUAUAAUUGUUUAGCGAAUUUUUUGUGUGGAGCGGUGUAUAGUAGUUAGUGGAUUUCUUUGUACAUUUAGAAGGUUAUUGGGAUAUGAGCAAGGGUAUUUGUAAAAUAAUAAUUUAAAUUGAAAUA
Molecule: long non-coding RNA, 2156 nt
Organism: Camellia sinensis
Lineage: Eukaryota; Viridiplantae; Streptophyta; Magnoliopsida; Ericales; Theaceae
Source: RefSeq, a predicted model, not a curated record